UUAUCUCAUGAACCACUCACGUUGUGACAUCUGAAGAUACGAGCAGAGGACGGAGGUAAUAUCGCCCAAGUACUACGAGAGUAAGCUAAGUUUAUCAGGUGGGCAUUAUUUUGAGUAUACAUAUUAUACGAGCUUUCUUAAAUGAUAUGAUACUUAUGAUUAUGAAUUGAGUUAAUGUUACGCUUGAAACUAAUUGACUUGCCGAGUUUUGUUAAUAAUGACUUGUGUGUUACCCUCUACUGAUGAGACGAAUUCGGUCCUGCCACAAGCGGGAUUUUGUGCACAGAGGUGACUGUGAGCCGUCUAUCGGGUCGGCCGGUCACGGUACUUGAGAGGGAGGCCUACUUCUCAGUACCUUUGAUGAUGAGUAGUGGAUGUGGUACAUACUUAAUGAAUAUUUAAACUGCGCAGUUACUUUUUUGUGAUGUUUAUGAUUUGCGAAAUUGCAUGCACAGGUUCUUCUCUAACUAAAACCCAUGUGUGUUGCUUAAUGUGGCAAGUUCAAUUUAUAGCUCUAAGAGCAAGCUUUCUUUUGUUUUUCGGCAUAUGUCCACUGAGUACUUUGUACUCAGCCCUGCAUGUAUUUCUAAAUGUGCAGGAUAAGCGAGGAUGGAGAAUGGUCUGGUGCUGGCGAGGAUUUUGUUCCGAUGUUAUCCUUUUACCGUAUUUAUAUUACAUACGGUAGCUUUUUGAUGUUGAUGUUUAUAUUUUGGACUUAGUCAAGAAGUAUACUCUCGGCUAUAUGUCUUCAUACAUAUAGUCUGUACACGUUUUGCUGCGAGACUCUGUAAAUUAUAAACCUUUAUAAAUUUUUAACUAUUUUCGCUUUGUAAACUUUAUCGAGAAUCCCUGUACUUUUGAACUUACGAAGCCGAUAAUAUUUGUGUCUUUGAGAUGAUGUUAUUGUUGUUCAUCCUUGCA
Molecule: long non-coding RNA, 921 nt
Filed under: Salvia miltiorrhiza (redroot sage)
Lineage: Eukaryota; Viridiplantae; Streptophyta; Magnoliopsida; Lamiales; Lamiaceae
Description: long non-coding RNA (SMIL_LNC006050)
Source: RNAcentral